AGAGUUUGAUCAUGGCUCAGGAUGAACGCUAGCUACAGGCUUAACACAUGCAAGUCGAGGGGCAGCAUCAUCAAAGCUUGCUUUGAUGGAUGGCGACCGGCGCACGGGUGAGUAACACGUAUCCAACCUGCCGACAACACUGGGAUAGCCUUUCGAAAGAAAGAUUAAUACCGGAUGGCAUAGUUUUCCCGCAUGGGAUAAUUAUUAAAGAAUUUCGGUUGUCGAUGGGGAUGCGUUCCAUUAGGCAGUUGGCGGGGUAACGGCCCACCAAACCUACGAUGGAUAGGGGUUCUGAGAGGAAGGUCCCCCACAUUGGAACUGAGACACGGUCCAAACUCCUACGGGAGGCAGCAGUGAGGAAUAUUGGUCAAUGGACGAGAGUCUGAACCAGCCAAGUAGCGUGAAGGAUGACUGCCCUAUGGGUUGUAAACUUCUUUUAUACGGGAAUAAAGUGAGCCACGUGUGGCUUUUUGUAUGUACCGUAUGAAUAAGGAUCGGCUAACUCCGUGCCAGCAGCCGCGGUAAUACGGAGGAUCCGAGCGUUAUCCGGAUUUAUUGGGUUUAAAGGGAGCGUAGGCGGGUUGUUAAGUCAGUUGUGAAAGUUUGCGGCUCAACCGUAAAAUUGCAGUUGAUACUGGCGACCUUGAGUGCAACAGAGGUAGGCGGAAUUCGUGGUGUAGCGGUGAAAUGCUUAGAUAUCACGAAGAACUCCGAUUGCGAAGGCAGCUUACUGGAUUGUAACUGACGCUGAUGCUCGAAAGUGUGGG
This 767-nucleotide ribosomal RNA is filed under the name uncultured bacterium. RNAcentral's name for it is "bacterial SSU rRNA". It matches the Rfam family "Bacterial small subunit ribosomal RNA", at positions 8 to 765 of the family's 1533-position model. The record is from RNAcentral.